Long non-coding RNA from Raphanus sativus (radish), 320 nucleotides. RefSeq lists it as uncharacterized. The transcript has 3 exons. The record is from RefSeq and is a predicted model, not a curated record. Lineage: Eukaryota; Viridiplantae; Streptophyta; Magnoliopsida; Brassicales; Brassicaceae.
GAAAUUUCUUUUUUUUUAAAGGUGUGGUGUUCACCUUUUCUCAUGUCAUAUAGGAAUUCAGGUCUGGAUCCAAGCUGGUUGCAAACACGGUCAGAUCAGGGUGUUGAUGAGGCAUCUUGCAUCUGCUGAGGCAGUGCUGGUGGGAAGAACAGGUGAGACAGCUUCUGAGAACUGUCUCUCACCAGACAACAUUGCAAGUACAUAAUCCUUGGCAGUUGGCCCAGACGGUCAGGGAAGUCCUUCCACAUGUACCCAACGAACUAAUUUUCCAGAGCCUUGGGGGUCUUUUAAAAUAUCAUGUUGCAGUCUGAUGAUGUGCU